GAUCAGGUAGGGAUCCCGCUGACUAA
This 26-nucleotide ribosomal RNA is filed under the name Pyrenophora teres. RNAcentral describes it as "partial 28S ribosomal RNA". The record is from RNAcentral. Lineage: Eukaryota; Fungi; Ascomycota; Dothideomycetes; Pleosporales; Pleosporaceae.